CGGAGAUCAGCUCUUUCGAUUCCAGUAAAUAACAUGGGCGUAUGUGAUCAUGUUUCACUGAACAACACAUGCAAGGAAAUACCAAAGACACAUAGCUAGUAUUAUUCUUUUUUAUCUGAAAAUCAGCUAUUAAUGCCCAUGAAUUAAAGAAAAACUGAAAUGAUUAUAUAUAUAAACCCUCAGCUUUUCGUCAUCCAAACCUAAAUCUCACUGUGUUUUCGCAAGUAUACAAAAUGUGCUUUGACAUAUAUGCACGGUAUUCAUACCAGCUAUUGGAAAAAAUUACAAGAUGCUCUCUCACGUAUGUGGAACGGCAAGUCUAACAUCGUUGUGAACUUGAUCUACAGCCACAUUUAGCAAGCACUCACAGAUGAGGUGCAAACACUUGUAUCAUAUUGUACUUAGGGACAGUGGCAGAACACAAAAUAGUCACUAGGGUCGCAAAGCCAUGAAUAAAUUCUGCCUUCGAGCAUGUUCUGGAACAAGGCGCUGGAGAGUUACAGUAGGAAUUCCAGUGAGCUCUUGGGGCUUGAAAUUGUAAAGUGGUGGAAGAGGACGACCAUUGGGAAGACGAGUAUUAGGAUCCCUCAAUUCAUCAAAGAAUGGAUGAAUACAGGCCUCUAAAGCAGUGCAUCUCAAAUAAGGUGAAUACUGGAAAAAUCGACAAAUCAGGUCAACUGCUUCUGGAGGCAAUCGCUUCUGAAAAACCUUAUGCCAUGGGUGUGGCUUUAUCUGUGGAAAUUUAAACUCAGUGUAGUUUGGAUUCAUACAUUUUAUCUCCUCUCUAGUAGGUGUCCCCAAAACCUUUAUAAUCUCUACUAAUUGAUCAACCCCACUCUCUCCAGGAAACAAUGGCUGUCCAAGAAGUAACUCAG
Molecule: unclassified non-coding RNA, 875 nt
Filed under: Hevea brasiliensis (rubber tree)
Lineage: Eukaryota; Viridiplantae; Streptophyta; Magnoliopsida; Malpighiales; Euphorbiaceae
Source: RNAcentral